AACGUAGGUGGCGAGCGUUAUCCGGAUUUACUGGGCGUAAAGCGUGCGCAGGCGGUUCGUUAAGUUCGUUGUGAAAGCCCCGGGCUCAACCUGGGAACUGCAAUGGAAACUGGCGGGCUUGAGUGUGGCAGAGGGGGGUGGAAUUCCGCGUGUAGCAGUGAAAUGCGUAGAGAUGCGGAGGAACACCGAUGGCGAAGGCAGCCCCCUGGGCCAACACUGACGCUCAGGCACGAAAGCGUGGGGAGCAAACAGG
RNAcentral lists this ribosomal RNA (253 nucleotides) under uncultured bacterium. RNAcentral describes it as "partial 16S ribosomal RNA". It matches the Rfam family "Bacterial small subunit ribosomal RNA", at positions 524 to 776 of the family's 1533-position model. The record is from RNAcentral.